CAGGAAGUAUCCGAGAAAGAAACAAAGCACCUCCGUGAUAUUUCAUGAAAGCGCACGGCUUCAUAGGCACGUAUAGCCUAUCAGUGGUUUGGAGAUCCUUCCCAGUUUCCCACAAGAAACCCCAAGAGAUCGGGAACAAACGAAAUAGAUAACUGAAAAACGCGAAUUGAUAGUGGGAGAAAAUAGCUUCUUUUUGGAUCUCAUCUUCUUGUUGUAGGAUGCAAGGCUUGGGGUCUACCUAAAAACUACAAACCAAAAACGCUUGCGCUCGAUUCUGCCUUAAAAGUCGCAUAGCGCCACCACCAG
This is a long non-coding RNA of Brienomyrus brachyistius, 306 nucleotides long. RefSeq lists it as uncharacterized. The record is from RefSeq and is a predicted model, not a curated record. NCBI's taxonomy places the organism in Eukaryota, Metazoa, Chordata, Actinopteri, Osteoglossiformes, Mormyridae. The transcript has 3 exons.